CGCGCAGGCGGUUAAUUAAGUCGAAUGUGAAAGCCCCCGGCUCAACUGGGGAGGGUCAUUCGAUACUGAUCAACUUGAAGGCAGGAGAGGGUAGUGGAAUUCCCGGUGUAGUGGUGAAAUGCGUAGAUAUCGGGAGGAACACCAGUGGCGAAGGCGACUACCUGGCCUGUUCUUGACGCUGAGGCGCGAAAGCUGGGGGAGCAAACGG
Molecule: ribosomal RNA, 208 nt
Filed under: uncultured bacterium
Lineage: Bacteria
Description: partial 16S ribosomal RNA
Rfam family: Bacterial small subunit ribosomal RNA
Source: RNAcentral